UAUUUGAUUUUGGAUUAUAUUUUAUUUUAAAAUUCAAAUUUCAAACUUAAUUUGAAACUUUGAUUUAAGUGUGUAAUAAUUUAACAGAGUUCUUAUCAAACAGUUUUCUAUAGCAGACAAUGCUUUGAUAAUAAAAAAUACUAAAUGCUCUACAGCUUUUUUUUAACAAUAAUGCACUAUUUCAUAUAGUACCUUUUCAACCGUAUUACUCUAUAUAAGCAAGCCAAACAGGCCCAAUGCCGACAAAUUUUUAUUGCAACAAUAUCUAUUAACCGCAACACAUGGGGUACUUUCUAAGCUGACCAUGCACAUAAUAUUACAUUUAACUUUGUUAAAAAAAUUGUAUUAUAUUAACAUGAAUACUUGAUGGCAAAAGGAGUAAAAGAGAAAGAAGAAGAAAUGUUUGGUGAUUACAUUGAUUAAUCCUCAGUAUCAGCAUAUCUACUGUUUUUAGUNAUAUAUAGGACUAUCUGGGGUCUCACAAUCUCCCCUCCUUUAAGCCCUGACGUCCUCGUCAGGCUCAGACUCACAAGUACCAGGCAAUGUGAGACUCAUCUCGCUAGCCCGUCAUCCAGACCCUAGCUCAGCCGAGACUCAUCUCACACUUCCGGCUGGUAAUUGGCUCUGUAUUACAACAGAAUUAGAUUAUAGGGACACAUGUUUGGAACACUUUUGAGUAAGUGUCCUAUUUAUUCUAAAACUUAAAAAAAUAUCUACUAAUGCCUAAAUAUAAAGCCCAAUCCAACCAAAAAUAAAAGAUUACUCUACUCAACUCACCACACCUAGUUCAUUUGGCCCGAUUAUAAACAGAAAAGAAAAAAAAAAAGAAAAAUCAAUUACCAUCUUUUCUUCUCUCUUCACUCAAUCUACUGAAAUUCUAGACGAAGAGCCUUUCCUGUCGUCCUUCUCCGCCACCGCAGCCAACGAGAUAGAGUUUCGGCGGUUGCUAAAUGCUUAAAUAAGUGUUGGUAAAUUAGCAGCACUCUUUUAGGUUAUAGCGACACUCUUUAAUUGUUACUAUGUACCUAGCGACCCCACAUAUAGCAACACUUUUUAAAAGUGUUGACAUGUACCUAUAUUUAAAAGUGUCGCUAUAGACCGUUUUUGUUGUAGUGCUGAUACCAUCUGUAACGCCCCGACUUCCCAGAGGGUCACCCAUCCUAGGACUACUCCUAUCCUAGCACGCUUAACUCUCUUAACCUCUUGGUCUAGCCACCACCCAAAAUGCUUAAGCCGGAUUAAGAGUUUAGCCCUAUUAUAUCUCAUAUAUAGGACUAUCUGGGGUCUCAUUGGAUUUAUAAGAGACUUAGACACUAGUAAUAAUAACUGGGCUUAAGCAUUUUGGGCUGUUGGCUGGGCCCAACGAGUUAUUGUUGCUAGUGAGCUGGGUCGUUACAGGUACUUUCUAAGCUGACCACGCACAUAAUAUUACAAUUAGCUUUGUUAAAAAAAUUAUAUUAUAUUAACAUGAAUACUUGAUGGCAAAAGGAGUAAAAGAGAAAGAAGAAGAAAUGUUUGGUGAUUACAUUGAUUAAUUCUCAGUAUCAGCAUAUCUACUGUUUUUAGUUGGAAUUUUAUUUUUUUAGGUUGCAUUGUCUACAAAUCCUUUUAGAACCAUGUUUUUUUUUUUUUUUCUAAAUUUUAGAUUUAUACCAUAUAUAAACUAUGUUUCCUUUUAAGUUUACAUCAUCUUACUGUAUUUUGAGCUAUUUUUAUUUAGUUUGAGAGCUGGUUGGUGUUUGAUACAAAACCCCUGCAUGCACUUAUACACGUCUAAUUUAUUGAGUAGCAUACAAGAACUUUAUCUUUUAUUUUAAAGAGCAUUACCUUUCCAAAGAAGAUCGUCUCUUGAAGUUUCAAUAUGAGGGAGGAAUCCAAAAAUUCUGUUGGAUACUGAAAGUGAAACAGAGGAGGAAAUAUCAACCAAAUUAAAUACUAAAAAUAUGAGUUGCAUUGCUGAGAAACCUUGGAAAGAACAUGGUCCGAAAGAAUUUAGCUUGAUUCUAAGUAAAAUCUGUGAAAAUGAGUAGGUUAUGAAGUUGGAAGCCAAGGUAAAGUAAUUUUUAAUUCUUUCUCUAAUUUUAUUAUAUUUUCGCUCCUGAGUUGCAAUUCUAAACUUUGGAGGUUAAAAUUAUUUGUAACUAUAGGUUCCCUCCUUCGCCAUCUUGCAAUAGAUAUACAAAUUUUGAUUUCUAUAUCAUUUUCGUUAAUUGUUAUACACAUUCAUUUGCUUCCACGAAAUCUUUCCGCCGCAUCGCGCGGGUAUCUUCACUAGUAUAUAAUGGAAAAGGGUGAGAGAGUCCACCGUGGACUCUCUCUCACGCAGUCCACAAAGUGAGGAUGAUCUUGUGGACCGCGUGCUCAAAAAGUUCGUGAGCUGCAAUUUCCAUUCACGGGUUUUCGUUUUCCGCAGGCAGCAUGCGAAAACGAAAAGUCGAUUUUUUCUUCAAAAUCUGUAAACUAACUUUUCUAAAAAAGAUUUUACGGACAACCAAACCUGGGAAAAACGGAGGUAUUUUACAGGGAUCCAAACCCACCCUAACUUUUUCUACUCUCAAAUCUCAAAUUUUCUUAAUUAAACCAUAAGAAUUUUUUAAAAUUGAACAAAUUCUUCUUAGAAAAUUUAUCCUUAGCCGACCAUUCCUAGAGCAAGUGGGAAAGAGCUUGGUGUAAUCCUAGUUGAUUCACAUUUUCAGCUAAGUUUAUUUCUAAAUGAAAUAAACGAAGCGGGUAGCGUGCUAUCUAUCUCUCUAAAAAAAAAAAAAAAAAAAAAAAAAAAAUCCUUAAGCUCUAAAUACAAGCUCUCAAUCUCAAGACAACAUAUAACUCUCAAUUUCUAAUUAUAUAUUUUUUAAAAAUAUUUUUAGUCAAUUAUUGUUUAGUAGUUGUUGUGUUGUUUUUUUAAAAACAACGUCGGACGAAUUUUUCAUUAGAUUUUUUAAUACUAAUUAUACUCCUAAAUAGUACAUCAGCAAUCAAUCAUCCUACUGUAGCUAGCAUUUUUAUAGAGGAUGGUGAGAGUCCACAACUUCAAGAAAAUAUUUUUGAUGCAAAUUCUAAAAGGCAUCAUAAAAGAUAACAAGUGAAUAAUAAAAGUACUUCAAAAUCAAAAAUUUGAAGGAUAUGAUCUGCACCUUUUCUUCCCUUUACUGAGGUUUCAAAAUCACAAAGUGGAUUCCAAAAACCUUUUGUUGGUUUCUUAGAACCCAAACUAUCUUUCAUCCGAAUCUUUUGCUCAGGUUUCAAAGCCUAACAUUUGGGUUCUGAAAUGUAAUGCUUUUAGGCCAAAGUUCGCUUUAACUUUUCUUUUCAUCUUCUUUUCUCUUCCUUAGAAAAUACAAUUUUUAAAAAAAAUUAUUUUAAAUAAUUAUUCAUGUAGCAAAAGUACUUGUAAAUAGUGAAUAAAUAUUUAUGUCAAAUGGUUGGUGAUUAUGCAGCUAUUUCGAGCAAUUAACGUUCAUAUUCUUCAAAGUUGUAAGGCAAUAGCAGCAGCAGUAAUAGUAAAAUUAGUAAAAAUAUGUUUUUAUCUUUGUUAGAAAGCAAAAACAAAUCGAUUUUAUAACCACAACUAACGAAUUUUAGUUUUAUUUACAAACCGCGUGAUUUUUUAAAUUUUUUCACCAAACAAGAAUGAGAUAAGUUUAACAUUUUAGUGUUGUGGAGUACAUGGAAGUACAUAUUUUGUACUUUUGCUAUAGUCCAUGAUCGACCUAUCUUGUAGGUUUCGCCAGUGGCAUCAAGUUGCAGAUGGAAGAAUACUAGAUAAUUAUAGAAUUCAGCUCAGAAAUGAUGUAUUCGAAGUGUUUGAAUACCUAAAAGAUCGGCGAGCUACCGAUUGAAGAAUACAAGAUAAAAGAGGUCUCGAGUAUACAUCAUCAGAUACAAUAGAAUCAGUUGUUUAAGAAUAUGCCAACACUCGUGGCAUAUUGAAUUAAGCCAACUUUUUUAAGUAAAUAUAAUGUAAUGGAGAGAUAAUAGAAUUAGAUUAUUAUUAUUUUUUUAAUAUAUAUUUGGUGGUUGGUUGUUUAAGU
Molecule: long non-coding RNA, 4031 nt
Filed under: Ananas comosus (pineapple)
Lineage: Eukaryota; Viridiplantae; Streptophyta; Magnoliopsida; Poales; Bromeliaceae
Description: long non-coding RNA (ACOM_LNC013847)
Source: RNAcentral